This 467-nucleotide ribosomal RNA is filed under the name uncultured bacterium. Its description in RNAcentral is "partial 16S ribosomal RNA". It matches the Rfam family "Bacterial small subunit ribosomal RNA", at positions 29 to 507 of the family's 1533-position model. The record is from RNAcentral.
ACGAACGCUGGCGGCGUGCUUAACACAUGCCAGUCGAACGGAAAGGCCCUGCUUUUGUGGGGUGCUUGAGUGGCGAACGGGUGAGUAACACGUGAGUAACCUGCCCUUGACUUUGGGAUAACUUCAGGAAACUGGGGCUAAUACCGGAUAGGAGCUCCUGCUGCAUGGUGGGGGUUGGAAAGUUUCGGCGGUUGGGGAUGGACUCGCGGCUUAUCAGCUUGUUGGUGGGGUAGUGGCUUACCAAGGCUUUGACGGGUAGCCGGCCUGAGAGGGUGACCGGCCACAUUGGGACUGAGAUACGGCCCAGACUCCUACGGGAGGCAGCAGUGGGGAAUAUUGCACAAUGGGCGGAAGCCUGAUGCAGCAACGCCGCGUGCGGGAUGACGGCCUUCGGGUUGUAAACCGCUUUCGCCUGUGACGAAGCGUGAGUGACGGUAAUGGGUAAAGAAGCACCGGCUAACUACGUG